This 22-nucleotide microRNA is filed under the name Scyliorhinus torazame (cloudy catshark). Its description in RNAcentral is "Sto-Mir-130-P4a_3p (mature (guide))". The record is from RNAcentral. Lineage: Eukaryota; Metazoa; Chordata; Chondrichthyes; Carcharhiniformes; Scyliorhinidae.
CAGUGCAAUAUUGAAAGAGCAG